Molecule: ribosomal RNA, 735 nt
Filed under: uncultured bacterium
Lineage: Bacteria
Description: bacterial SSU rRNA
Rfam family: Bacterial small subunit ribosomal RNA
Source: RNAcentral
GACGAACGCUGGCGGCGCGCCUAACACAUGCAAGUCGAACGAGCGAGAGAGAGCUUGCUUUCUUGAGCGAGUGGCGAACGGGUGAGUAACGCGUGAGGAACCUGCCUCAAAGAGGGGGACAACAGUUGGAAACGACUGCUAAUACCGCAUAAGCCCACGACCCGGCAUCGGGUUGAGGGAAAAGGAGCAAUCCGCUUUGAGAUGGCCUCGCGUCCGAUUAGCUGGUUGGUGAGGUAACGGCCCACCAAGGCGACGAUCGGUAGCCGGACUGAGAGGUUGAACGGCCACAUUGGGACUGAGACACGGCCCAGACUCCUACGGGAGGCAGCAGUGGGGAAUAUUGCACAAUGGAGGAAACCCUGAUGCAGCGACGCCGCGUGGAGGAAGAAGGUCUUCGGAUUGUAAACUCCUGUUGUUGAGGAAGAUAAUGACGGUACUCAACAAGGAAGUGACGGCUAACUACGUGCCAGCAGCCGCGGUAAAACGUAGGUCACAAGCGUUGUCCGGAAUUACUGGGUGUAAAGGGAGCGCAGGCGGGAAGACAAGUUGGAAGUGAAAUCUAUGGGCUCAACCCAUAAACUGCUUUCAAAACUGUUUUUCUUGAGUAGUGCAGAGGUAGGCGGAAUUCCCGGUGUAGCGGUGGAAUGCGUAGAUAUCGGGAGGAACACCAGUGGCGAAGGCGGCCUACUGGGCACCAACUGACGCUGAGGCUCGAAAGUGUGGGUAGCAAACAGG